RNAcentral lists this ribosomal RNA (487 nucleotides) under uncultured bacterium. RNAcentral's name for it is "SSU rRNA". It matches the Rfam family "Bacterial small subunit ribosomal RNA", at positions 26 to 438 of the family's 1533-position model. The record is from RNAcentral.
AGGAUGAACGCUGGCGGCGUGCCUAAUACAUGCAAGUCGAGCGGUAAGGCUCUGCACAGUUUAUUUGAUCGUGAUAACUUCGGUUGUCGUAGCAGACCAAAAUUCCUCUGGCUAGAGGAAUGGCGGCGAGGGAGAUGGAAUAAAGUGUGUAGAGUACACGAGCGGCGGACGGCUGAGUAACACGUAGGAACGUACCCCAAACUGAGGGAUAAGCACCAGAAAUGGUGUCUAAUACCGCAUGUGCUCUAAGGAGUAAAGCUUCGGCGGUUUGGGAACGGCCUGCGUCCGAUUAGCUUGUUGGUGAGGUAAUGGCUCACCAAGGCGACGAUCGGUAGCUGGUCUGAGAGGAUGAUCAGCCAGACUGGGACUGAGAACGGCCCAGACUCCUACGGGAGGCAGCAGUAGGGAAUUUUCCACAAUGGGCGAAAGCCUGAUGGAGCAACGCCGCGUGCGAGGAUGAAUGCCUUAGGGUUGUAAACUGCUUUUA